AUGAUUUGCUUAAGCUGGAACUACCCGGGGCUUGGGAACACCGAGGCAGUUCGCGAGCUUCGCAGUGUUGUGAAGCAAGAAGGGCCCGCUCUAGUUUUUGGCAUGGAAACAAAGAUUAGAGGGAAACGUGUAGAGAGAUUGCAGUAGACCUUGGGGUUUGCAGGUUGCUUUGCUGUUGACAGCGGCGGAUUAAGUGGAGGCGUUGGACUCUUUUGGUCCAAAGAUGUUAUAGUAGAGCUCAAGAAUUACAGCUCGGCCCACAUUGAUGUAGUGGUGCGCGAUGCUUUGGACACUUCGGUGAAUUGGAGAUUCACUGGUUUCUAUGGAGCGCCAAGAGCAGAAAAUAGGCAUCAUAGUUGGCGCUUCCUUCGUACCCUACAUGCACUCCCGCAUUCAGCAUGGUUAUGUAUGGGUGAUUUUAAUGAGACCCCAUAUGGGGAAGAGCAUUUCAGUUGGACGGCACGACCAGAAUGGCAGAUGAGAACCUUUCGCGAGAUCACCGAUGAGUGUGCGUUCCAGGAUCAGGGUUCGACGGGUGUAGCUUACACAUGGGACAACCGACAAUCUGACAAUGCAAAUGUUAAAGCCCGGCUAGACCGAGCCUUUGCCAAUGAGGAAUUUAGACAGAUUUUCGAGUAUGUUAAAGUGCGCCACAUCUGUUCGGUGGAGUCAGACCACUGCUUUGUGUUAACUGACUUUCGGCACCAAUCCCACAACAACAAUUCACAUACGUCGAAACUGUUCCACUAUGAGAACAUUUGGCAGUCUCAUAGUGAUUACGAGCAACUUGUCACUGAAAACUAG
This 804-nucleotide ribosomal RNA is filed under the name Triticum aestivum (bread wheat). Its description in RNAcentral is "partial small subunit ribosomal RNA". Lineage: Eukaryota; Viridiplantae; Streptophyta; Magnoliopsida; Poales; Poaceae. The record is from RNAcentral.